CCUACGGGCGGCAGCAGUGAGGAAUAUUGGUCAAUGGGCGUAAGCCUGAACCAGUCAAGUCGCGUGAGGGAUGAAGGUUCUAUGGAUCGUAAACCUCUUUUAUAAGGGAAUAAAGUGUGGGACGUGUCCUAUUUUGUAUGUACCAUAUGAAUAAGGAUCGGCUAACUCCGUGCCAGCAGCCGCGGUAAUACGGAGGAUCCGAGCGUUAUCCGGAUUUAUUGGGUUUAAAGGGUGCGUAGGCGGCCUUUUAAGUCAGCGGUGAAAGUCUGUGGCUCAACCAUAGAAUUGCAGUUGAAACUGGGGGGCUUGAGUGUGUUUGAGGCAGGCGGAAUGCGUGGUGUAGCGGUGAAAUGCUUAGAUAUCACGCAGAACCCCGAUUGCGAAGGCAGCCUGCCGAGCCGUGACUGACGCUGAUGCUCGAAAGCGUGGGGAUCAAACAGGAUUAGAUACCCCUGUAGUC
Molecule: ribosomal RNA, 460 nt
Filed under: uncultured bacterium
Lineage: Bacteria
Description: partial 16S ribosomal RNA
Rfam family: Bacterial small subunit ribosomal RNA
Source: RNAcentral